CCCAUCUGAUGCAGGAAUAUACACAUGCUGAGGGUGCAGCUGGCCCAGGACAGCCACAGCCCAGCUCAUGUCAGGAAAGCUCCUGAGCACAUCAACCACGGUAAACCAGUCUGUACAAUGAGGCACAGAUGGAAAUGAGACCUACCUUCUUCCUGUGGGUGUGGCAGAACCUACCAUGAAGCCAACAGCCUGAUACAACAGCUUGAGGUGGCUGCUGUGAUUCAGUGAGCCCAUGGCUGCUCCCUGCACAGUGCUAGGGGGAGCCAAAUGCUCAGCAGAGGGGCACAGGCUCCUGCAGCAGUGCCAACCUACUCCUGAGUCCUGGCAGAUGUUCUGCCUGUUGCUAUGGACUAAUUGCACGGCAAGGCACAAGCCAAAGGAGUCAUCAUCCUUCCCCUGCUACCAGCUGAACACAGGUGGAUAACCCCAUCCCAGGGCUGGAUCUCCAGAUGCAGACUUUUCUUGGGGAGAUCUGGAUGUAGUCAGCACACAGCAGCAGAGCAGAUUAAUGUUGAGCUAAUUGCAACAGGAAGCAUUGCACAAGACUAACCCAUCAAUCAACUGCUAACAGUGCUUGGCAACUUUGUGCACAGUUACUUCCUCCGAAUGCAGAUUGCAUUCCUAGCUCUGCCUGCAAGAAUUGUCUGAAAAAUGUGCUUCACUUUGGCAACACAUACAACCCCUGCUUACAGCCCUGUGAGGGGACCUUUCACUGCCAAAACCAAGGGGGUACAGAGCACCUCUGUAGCUGUCUCAUACCCUUCAGUUCAUCAGCCACUUCAGACACAUUGGAACAACUGCUGAGGUCAGCUGGCUGUCUGGGUAUCAAGGCAACAGCACAAGGCAUUUAAGGGUAGUGCAGCGUGCUGAGAAAGGUCUGAUUCCAUGUAAUACCUGUACAAGAUCCCUCCGUCCGACAGCCAUGGCUGAGGCAGCAUUCUUCUGGCAAGUCUCCUGGAUAUUAUUCACAUUCAAUCUGAAAAGAAGAAAGACAGAUCAGCUCUUGGGCUGGCAUGUUACUGAGAAGGCAGGGAGGAAUGGUGAGAACGUGGUACUGGUAAUAGUAAGUAGCCCAGAACUUGCUGAUCACUAUGAGCCUACAAGCACAACCAGGAUCUCAUCGAGCCCCUUGUGUUAGUCAGGAAUCACUACCAUCCUUCUGGCAACUCUGCUAUUCAUCUUCCUUAACACACUGCUUAUUGCUCCAAACUGGCUUAGUCCUAAGAUGCACCACUUCCAUGGGGACACUGAAUCCAACUUGUGCCAGAACACCACCAAGCCAAGAAUUGUUCCUGUCCCUAGGAUCCAUCAGUGAUGUGGUUCUGUUCCCAUCCAGCCUCUUGAUCUCUUUUACCUGACUGGAAUAAAUCAGCCUUACCCACAGACAAGCAAGUUCCUGAGCUCUGUAACACACCCCUUGCAGAGUCUCUGAGUGCCCAACAAGGGGCAGGGGGAGCCUGAGGAAACCCAAGUGGGGUUUCCUAUUCAUCAUCAGGUUCUUCAGAUGCUUGAUGUUUUUUACAAGUGAGAUACCCAGAGAAGAAAGAUCCAUUAAAUCUUAUCAAUAACACAGAGAAGAGAGAAGGAAGACUUUCUCUUCCUCACUAUUCCUUAAGAAGGGCAGCCUGCUCCUUCCCUGAAUCUGUACCACCAACUUCUCCCUCCUGCUGACAAAAGCCUGAGCCCAUGAGGCUCACAGUGAUGAUAUUGGAGCGCCAGUUCACCCUGUAUACAGCUACACCAUCACAAAUCUCUUCCAUUGCUUUUCAGAUUUCUGGAAGACAAACCUCCUCUCACAGGCAGAAUGACACCAGAAAAAGGAAGGCAAGAGAAAAGGAAGAAGGUGCAGCAAUAUUCAAAUAUUUGAAGGGUGAAAGCACAGCAGUGCCAACGACAGCUGCUGGGUGCCAGCCUGUACUCACAUGUAGAGCUCUCCCAGCAGCUUGUGCACAGGCAGCAAGCAGGAAAUAUCUUGUAUAAUAACUUUCCCAGCAGCUUUGAUGGGUCGGUUGUUGGCAUCCGUCCCCUCCCGUUUGCUUUUCCACCUCCUUGAUUUCUGCAGAACAAAUGGCAGCGUGUUACUUGGGGGCAGGACACCAGCCUUCGUGGGCCAGGGAACAAAGCACUAAGGGUCAAGGAUAAUGCAAGCAGCACCCAAACCCGCCUUUCAGAAGGCUCUGUGUCCCCCUGGAAAACAUCCAUGACAUGCCCAGGAGAACAAGCAUCUCCAUCUGUAGGAAGUGAAAAGCAGGUCAAGGCAACGAGCUCAAGGUUAAACUCACUCAAAAAGUAUUUUGUGAGUUCCCCUGUGAAAGCCAAUAAGAGAACAAAUCAGCAUUGGGAUGGGAUGCCAAUCGGACCCAGAAAGGUUUAGCAGGAUAUGGCUCAAAAUUAGUGCUCUCAUUAGAGGUCUGGUGUGGGAAGCCUUGCACACAGAGCACCACUGGCUUCAGCUCAGCACAGAGACAAGCAGGAGCCAGCUUCUGUUUGCCCUUGACUUCAGAGAGGGCCAGCAGCUCCAGACUCUCCUCUGGUCUCCUCUGAGAACACCUCUCCUGCUUUAUCAAGAGCUUCGAACAAAUGGCAGAUGAUAAAGCAGGGCCCACGUUUUCCUAGCAAGGAUCCUCAGCUACCAUGCUCACAGCUGGCUCAGGGCAAACAGCUGGGGGAAAUAGGAAGGAGAGGAAUCAACACAAGGGAAAAAACCAGGGAGCCAAAACCCCAAAUACUCCCCAUAACAGCUGCAUCUUUGUGCCAAGCUGCGUAACGCUGCCUCGGAUACACGACAGCCUGUGGAGUAUUGGGCAGCUCCUUGCUGCAGGAGGGCUGAGGACGUGCAGCACAGGGAAGUAAAGGUUGUACAGGACCUCUAGGAGGGAAGCGCUGGCUGCUAUGAGCAGCAGCGGAUGCUUUGCAGUGCUGUGAGCUCCCUCACUGACAUGCUCCAAUCAGUGUUCCAAUGUCACACUGAGCUGCAGAGGCUCUGAGUGCACCCAGAGCUAACAGUCCCUCUGUCCUGCUGUACAGGCAGAGCUCACCCAGGCACAUCAGUGCUCCUUAAGAAUAGACUGGGCUACGGGAAGGGCAGGACCAGGACCUUCUUCACUGCCUGUGCUCCCAUAGGGCAGGUGGCUGAGGCCCAGAGGCUCGAGCACAGGCUUGGCAGUGAGUGAAGGAGGUAAUUCAGACUUGAAGGAAGUGAAGGUGGACAUUCCUGACCUUGUGACAGAUCCUCACCAGCUCUCCUGGCCUUCCACUGCUCCCCAGAGUAAAGAGGAGCAAGCACAUUCUGCCCAACAUACAGAGGUACCAAAUGGAAACAGGGCUAUCAGCAUUCGGUGCUUUGGGAAUUGGACAGCCAGGGCUAAUUCUGCUCCCAGCUACAGCCCUGCAAGCUCUAAUCCAACCAAUCUGCUUUCAGUUUUUACCUCAUCUAUUGCUCAAAUUGAGAGCUACGCAGCAGAAGGUGGCUACAGGAUGGGAGACCAUCCUCUCCUCAAUACAUCAGUCAAGGUCCUGCCUGGACCAGCUCUGACUCCCACCAUUGGGCACAGUUCUACUCCUGAUAACACCUAAAAACAUCGCUACCCUUUCUGUGCUGAAAGACAUGGACUGUAAAAUAACAGUGUUCUCAAAUCACUGUGGUGCCUGUCCCUGCUUCCUCAUCUGCAGGACGAGGUGCAGCAAGUUGCUGCUGAUGCUGCCAAAACCAACAGUGGAGCAAAACUUGGGAGCCCCAGAGCAAAGAUGUGCCACUAGGGCAGGACUGCAGGCAGUACUUAUCAAAAGAGUCCCCUGUGCCAAACCUGAAUGCAGACUUACAGGCACAGAGCCACACUCUGCAGGUCCAGAGCUCGGCAGGAAUGUCAGGGAGCAGCUUCCCACCUCCUGAGCAUCUGCAAGGCAGCUGAACCCAGCACUCACAGCUGAUGGAGCGUUCCCCCUCUGCUGUCACUGAGAACAGCCCAACCUGCUCCUGCCCCCUGCACGAGCCAGCUGAAGAAGCCUCCCACCAGGUACUGCAAAGCCCAGAAACAUGGACGACACACACCACUUCCCACAGGCAACCCAGUCACUGUUUUGUUUUUGAGCAUGACAACAAAUGAGGAUGAGUAUGGAAAAGAGAUGCCACAAAUGGCUUCCACUGCUUGCUGUUAGCGUAGCACCAGACAAAUGAAGACACUAAAUGCAUCAGAGCCCCACGAAAGCCUGAACUCACAAAGUCCUCCUGCUUUUUCCCUCCUAGCUCUGCCAGGUUUCUGGCCGAGAGGGCAGCCCUAAUCCUCUCCUGGUGCAGCUCCAGCAUUGGCCUGUGAGCGCACACCCUGCCUGCACCGCUGCUUCCUGCCCUUUGAACUGUGAUAAAAGAAAACCAUAAAUUUAAGGGUACAGCCAGUUUUACGUGUCAUGCUUUUUCAAAAUUCAGGUAAGCCUCUGCAGCAAGGGGUUCAAAGGUGAGGAGAGCUCUGGCUCAGGGAUCUGUCUGGCCAAGGUCCACCACAGGGUUCCUCUCUUCCUUCUAUUCCAAGCCUGCUCCAGUGAGGAUCUUCCAUUGUGGUGUUAGUCAAGGCUCACAGGCAUCAGGGUGGAACAGGAGACAUGUCUCUUCCCGGGGGCUGGAGCACAGAUGACAGAGGGGAACAGGGAACACAACGGUUGGAGCAGAAGCAAAUCAGCAUGCACACACCAAGCUAACUAGGGGCAAAGACACAGGCCUUCUGCACUUCCCCAGCACUAUCUGCAACCUAGAGUCCAG
This is a non-coding RNA of Coturnix japonica (Japanese quail), 4756 nucleotides long. NCBI's taxonomy places the organism in Eukaryota, Metazoa, Chordata, Aves, Galliformes, Phasianidae. The record is from RefSeq and is a predicted model, not a curated record.